GUGAGGAAUAUUGCGCAAUGGAGGCAACUCUGACGCAGCCAUGCCGCGUGCAGGAAGAAGGCGCUACGCGUUGUAAACUGCUUUUAACCGGGAAGAAACCCCAGGACGUGUCCUGGGUUGACGGUACCGGAGGAAUAAGCACCGGCUAACUUCGUGCCAGCAGCCGCGGUAAUACGAAGGGUGCAAGCGUUAUCCGGAUUCAUUGGGUUUAAAGGGUGCGUAGGCGGAGCGUUAAGUCAGUGGUGAAAUCCUGCAGCUUAACUGUAGACUUGCCAUUGAUACUGGCGCUCUUGAGUGCGCUUGAAGUGGGCGGAAUGUGCCGUGUAGCGGUGAAAUGCUUAGAUAUGGCACAGAACACCAAUUGCGAAGGCAGCUCACUAAGGCGAUACUGACGCUGAGGCACGAAAGCGUGGGGAUCGAACAGGAUUAGAAACCCCGGUAGCC
Molecule: ribosomal RNA, 444 nt
Filed under: uncultured bacterium
Lineage: Bacteria
Description: partial 16S ribosomal RNA
Rfam family: Bacterial small subunit ribosomal RNA
Source: RNAcentral